CCUACGGGUGGCAGCAGUGGGGAAUAUUGGGCAAUGGGCGCAAGCCUGACCCAGCAACGCCGCGUGAAGGGAGAAGGCCCUCGGGUUGUAAACUUCUUUUGUCAGGGACGAAGCAAGUGACGGUACCUGACGAAUAAGCCACGGCUAACUACGUGCCAGCAGCCGCGGUAAUACGUAGGUGGCAAGCGUUAUCCGGAUUGACUGGGUGGAAAGGUCGUGUAGGCGGGGCAGCAAGUCAUAGGUGAAAUUCCAGGGCUCAACCCUGGAACUGCAUUUGAAACUGUUUUUCUUGAGUGAUGGAGAGGCAGGCGGAAUUCCGGGUGUAGGGGUGAAAUGCGUAGAUAUACGGAGGAACACCAGUGGCGAAGGCGGCCUGCUGGACAUUAACUGACGCUGAGGCGCGAAAGCGUGGGGAGCAAACAGGAUUAGAUACCCCAGUAGUC
RNAcentral lists this ribosomal RNA (443 nucleotides) under uncultured bacterium. RNAcentral describes it as "partial 16S ribosomal RNA". It matches the Rfam family "Bacterial small subunit ribosomal RNA", at positions 338 to 795 of the family's 1533-position model. The record is from RNAcentral.